CCCCUCCCUCGCGGCUGAAGGCUUUAAAACCCCUUCAGUCACUUACCUGAAUCCAGUGCCGAUGUCCCUCGGCGCUGGGUCAAGCUCUGCCCACGCUCCUCCUCUGUUGUCAGGGGGAGACCUAAUUCUCAUGAGCGUCAAUGGCCGCUCUUGCAUUAGGAUUUCCCCAUAGAAAAGCAUUACUCAAUGCUUUCCUAUGGGGAGGGGAAAUCUGACACUUGUGGUCCUCAUGCAUAGGGAGAG
Non-coding RNA from Pelobates cultripes (western spadefoot toad), 243 nucleotides. Lineage: Eukaryota; Metazoa; Chordata; Amphibia; Anura; Pelobatidae. The record is from the annotation of a GenBank genome assembly.